Molecule: long non-coding RNA, 1308 nt
Organism: Oreochromis aureus
Lineage: Eukaryota; Metazoa; Chordata; Actinopteri; Cichliformes; Cichlidae
Source: Ensembl
GUCGCAGCUGCCCUCCUCCUGGGAGCUGGCACUGGUGUGGGUGUAGGCUAGGCCCUAGUCAUCUGAGGAGGUGAAACGGCUGAAGAGGAAGGCCGAAUCUGGGCCACCGUGCUGGUAGGAAAUGGCUGAGUGAUGGGUGUGGAAAUAGUGACUGGGUGUGUGAUACUGGCAGGUUUAUCAGGGAUUGUUCUGGUCUUUCUGCCACCACUAUUUAGUCUUUGGGGGAGCAGAGCAGAAAAAAUCUUCCCAGUCCACAGAAUCCUCCAGGAGGGAAACAUCCCAUGAAUCAGAGAUGGGUUUAUCAGUGGUUUUAAAUGAGGAAUCGAAUGAGGGUGGAAAACAGUCACUGGAACUCACCACCGGGAAUUGCUGGAAAUAGUCCAUUUUAUGGCGGCGUGUGCGCCGCUUUCUCCGGGAAGAGGAAGCGGGCGGGGUACACAUCCGAGCCUCUGGUGCGGGAGCCUCUGUUGAGCCGAGGUGGGAGGCGGAGCCGCUGUGCCGUGGCGAGGUUGAAGGUCCGGUGAAUGAGGCAGAUGGCGUGUGAGCGAGGAGCGGACCCGCGAGAGAGGGAGCCGCCGAAGCGUGGCGCGAAACGCCCAGUCUCCGCGGCAGAUGCUCCGGUGCAGGUGGGGCAGCAGGUGGGAGAACGCGGUGUCUCCGAGGCCCGCCAAGAGCCAGGCGAGUGCCCUCGAAGAUGUGCUUCUCCGCCCAAAUGGAGAGCGCUGCCUCCUGCCGCUCAAAAAGGUCCGAGUCCGCUGGGUCAAAAGCAGGUCGUGUCAUUCUGUCAGGAGUGUCGUGUGUGGAGGCGAGGAAGAGAUGACCCAAACGCUGGACUCAAGGUGCAGGAUAAUGGGGUUUAUUGUAGAAUUAUAUUUAGACUUGGAUCGAUGGAACAAAUUUCAGAUAUGCAAACUGGUGUCAUGGAAAACCGACCAAAAAUUAUGGCCACUGCCUGGAGAUGAAUUUUUCAGCAAAAAAAGUCUUGGAAUGGUCGGUUCUGUUCCUGCCUCCGCCCAUCUGUCUGCGUCAAGAAUAUCUGGUGAUUCCUGACCUCAUACGAAGGCAUGGUGCACUUGGCAAAGAAGCAAACUGUCUCAUAUAUCGUCCAAAGAGUCUACUUCUCAUUUUACAUCUUUGCUUCUGUUCAGCGAUGCUGAAAAAAAUGCAAUGCAAAUGCAAAUAAAAUGACAGAAACUGUAGUUUUUCUCUUUCAGGAAUGUGUAAUGGAAAUACUGCUUUUAGCAAAGCUUCAAGUACAAAAAUGAACUGUUCUUUCUGGCUUGUCUGUAUCAUUAAAAUCUUAAGCAC